Molecule: ribosomal RNA, 300 nt
Filed under: uncultured Armatimonas sp.
Lineage: Bacteria; Bacillati; Armatimonadota; Armatimonadia; Armatimonadales; Armatimonadaceae
Description: bacterial SSU rRNA
Rfam family: Bacterial small subunit ribosomal RNA
Source: RNAcentral
GGUAAGUACGUACCAGCGGCGGGGUGCAGGCGUGGGAGGGUGGGGUGUUCCGGAUUCGUUGGGCGUAAAGGGGGGGCAGGCGGUUUGGCGAUUGGGAAGUGAGAACCCGAGGUGCAACUUCGGGGCUGCAUCCGAAACUGCGCGACUAGAGGUAGGUAGGGGAGAUCGGAAUUCCUGGGUGAGCGGUGAAAUGCGCAGAUAUCAGGAGGAACACCGGUGGCGAAGGCGAAUCUCUGGGCAUCACCUGUCGCUGAGGUGCGAAGGCUAGGGGAGCGAACAGGAUUAGAUACCCGUGUAGUC